GGGUUGUGAGGUUAAGCGACUAAGCGUACACGGUGGAUGCCCUGGCAGUCAGAGGCGAUGAAGGACGUGCUAAUCUGCGAUAAGCGUCGGUAAGGUGAUAUGAACCGUUAUAACCGGCGAUUUCCGAAUGGGGAAACCCAGUGUGUUUCGACACACUAUCAUUAACUGAAUCCAUAGGUUAAUGAGGCGAACCGGGGGAACUGAAACAUCUAAGUACCCCGAGGAAAAGAAAUCAACCGAGAUUCCCCCAGUAGCGGCGAGCGAACGGGGAGCAGCCCAGAGCCUGAAUCAGUGUGUGUGUUAGUGGAAGCGUCUGGAAAGGCGCGCGAUACAGGGUGACAGCCCCGUACACAAAAAUGCACAUACUGUGAGCUCGAUGAGUAGGGCGGGACACGUGGUAUCCUGUCUGAAUAUGGGGGGACCAUCCUCCAAGGCUAAAUACUCCUGACUGACCGAUAGUGAACCAGUACCGUGAGGGAAAGGCGAAAAGAACCCCGGCGAGGGGAGUGAAAAAGAACCUGAAACCGUGUACGUACAAGCAGUGGGAGCACGCUUCGGCGUGUGACUGCGUACCUUUUGUAUAAUGGGUCAGCGACUUAUAUUCUGUAGCAAGGUUAACCGAAUAGGGGAGCCGAAGGGAAACCGAGUCUUAACUGGGCGUUAAGUUGCAGGGUAUAGACCCGAAACCCGGUGAUCUAGCCAUGGGCAGGUUGAAGGUUGGGUAACACUAACUGGAGGACCGAACCGACUAAUGUUGAAAAAUUAGCGGAUGACUUGUGGCUGGGGGUGAAAGGCCAAUCAAACCGGGAGAUAGCUGGUUCUCCCCGAAAGCUAUUUAGGUAGCGCCUCGUGAAUUCAUCUCCGGGGGUAGAGCACUGUUUCGGCAAGGGGGUCAUCCCGACUUACCAACCCGAUGCAAACUGCGAAUACCGGAGAAUGUUAUCA
Molecule: ribosomal RNA, 945 nt
Filed under: Escherichia coli
Lineage: Bacteria; Pseudomonadati; Pseudomonadota; Gammaproteobacteria; Enterobacterales; Enterobacteriaceae
Description: partial 23S ribosomal RNA
Rfam family: Bacterial large subunit ribosomal RNA
Source: RNAcentral